RNAcentral lists this ribosomal RNA (159 nucleotides) under uncultured Polynucleobacter sp. RNAcentral describes it as "partial 16S ribosomal RNA". Lineage: Bacteria; Pseudomonadati; Pseudomonadota; Betaproteobacteria; Burkholderiales; Burkholderiaceae. The record is from RNAcentral.
CACGUAGUUAGCCGGUGCUUAUUCUUCAGGUACCGUCAUUCGCAGACUGUGUUAGAGCUGCUGUUUCUUCCCUGACAAAAGAGCUUUACAACCCGAAGGCCUUCUUCACUCACGCGGCAUUGCUGGAUCAGGGUUGCCCCCAUUGUCCAAAAUUCCCCA